GUAAUGGACUUAGGAAACUCUAAGAACAAAGAUGUAAUCCUAUAGAGAGGAAGGAGGAAUGGGACCAGCAGGAGUAACAUACUUUCAAUUUUGACAAUAUGAGGACAUGCCUUCUUAAGAAACCAGCCUACCCUGCUGUGAGCUGGGAGGGGGCCUCUGCCAAGGUGCUGAGGGAGGCGGCCACGAACAGUGGAGCACUGGGGCCCUCACACCAACAGCCCGGAGGUAUGUCUUCCUGCCAGGGACCAGGAAGGCAGCCUCAGAAGUGGGUCCUACAUGCCGAGACUUCGGAUAAGCUAUGGCCCCAGAUGACACCUUGACUGAAGCCUUGUGAAGGCUGAGGCACCCAGGCUGUUUCCUAGAACUUCCAGAGUGCACAGAAACCCAGAGGGCUCCAUCAUGUAUUCCCUCCUGUCGGUCACUGUGACUUUCAAAGACUGUGAGGAGACAGUGAGCCAUCGUUACCUUGGUGAUGGUGAGCACGAUGUCGGUGGAUGUCACCAGAGGGCAGGGAUUCCCCAGGAGCCUGUAGCCAAUCACCUGGGGAAGCACCAUGCUGAUUGGCUGGCCCAGCAUGACAGCUUCUGCUUCAAUACCACCCACACCUGCAAAGAAUGGCACAGCAGAAUGAGGCUCUCAUUCCUCCUGUGACCCUCAGGCUUAACUCAGUGUCAUCAACAGAAUUUUAAGCAAGUGUUUCUGAAAGUGUGGUCCCCCAACCACCUGUAUCAAACUGCCUGUGAUUCUAUCAAAGUGAAGAGUGGGGUCAGAAGUCUCCAUUUUUAACAAAAACCUCAGGUCUUGAUUCUUCUGUAAACUGUCUGCCCUGUCAGAGAGAAAAACUAAAUGUAUAAGUUUUAAGGCUUAAAAUAUUAUUACUGGUCAAAUCUGUUGGUGAUGAAUAACAUGGCAGUUUCAUCUGCAGGCUUGCUGGACAGUACUGAUGCAUUCAUUCACAUGGGAAAGGAGAGGUAAGUAGCAAAAGCUUUUUAAAAAGGAUAAUGUUUAUUUUGUUCAGGUGAUUCCAAUGUCUUUAAACAUGUGAGUAGAACCCAUAGCAUGAAUUCAAGAUAAAACUAAACCAAUCAUAAAGUCUGAUUCUUAGGAACAGACUUGAGACAUUUAGAUGACAAGAACAGUUUAGAUAUUUAAUGAACCCUUGUUUCUGUCCUCCUUUCUCAUCCUUGACCUUGCUAUAACAGCUCUCUGCACUGAGCCACGUCUGGGCUGCCACUUUCAUCUGUUUGUUUUGGCAGACAGGGAACCAGUGAUCCCAGGAAGCAACGGCACUUAUAGAAUCACAAUCUCUUACUUCUCAGACAGAGGUUUAUGAUAACAGUGCCACCUAAGAACAUCUACAAAGCAUAGAUUAUAUGCUGAGGUUUACUCAAAGUCAUUCAGUCCCUCAGGAAUGACACAGGCAAGCCAGGGCAUCAAGAAGCUUGUCCAGGAUUUUUUGUAAUCAAGCUUCAUUCUUUUGAGUUGAGGUAGAAUAAGUCAUAGUCACAACUUUGUAGGUUGGGCACAAAAAGGUACUCCUAAAUUAUAUAUCAUGGAUUGAGAAAACAUAGGAAAAGAUAGUAAAAUUAAUAACUAAGAUCCAAAUCAGACUCCAUAAUUAAUAGUUAACACUUACUGUCAUUACUAGGAAGCAGCCACUAUUCUAAAUGAUUUACAUUUAUUUUCUCAUCUAGUCUUCAUAAUAACCCUUUGAUUAGAUAUCAUUAACACCCACAUUUUUCAAAAGAGGAAACUGAGACACAGAGAGAUUAAGAAAGUUGCUCAGGACCACAGAGCUAGUAAAUGAACUGCAAGCGAAGCCCAGGCAGUCUGACUCCACUGUCGGUGCUCUAAAUCCACGCUGCGUCCCUGCAGUGGAGUUAUGGAAACUGUAAUCACCACCACCACAGUAAUAACAGAAGGAGCUAAAGGGCAAGAUUAUGUCAGAGGCUUUAAAUGCUUUACAUGCCUGAACUCCUUCAAUCAUCAUAACAAUGGUUAGACAACUUGUCAAGGCGGGAUGCUUGUCAGUUAUAGAGCUGUCAUUUGACCCCAGGACUGAUGGCCCCAGGCCUCUAACUAAACACUGUACUUCUCAUCCUCCCGGUACCUACAUGUACUAAUGAUCUACAGAACCCACCUGGGCCAUAUGCUGGGAGUGUGGUGCAGAAGUACCAUGAGCAGUGCCUGCCCACUUGGUGGACCAAACCUGAAGACUAUACAGAGUAGUAGCCAGGCAGCUGGAAGAGCCCAGACUGUCAAGGUCAUGACUCAGGACAUACAGGGUGCCAAAGGAGCACCCAGAAAGGGCUACAGACUCAAACGGGGGUCAGGAAUGCCUUCCGGAAGAGGAAUGACAUUAAUGUAGUCUGAAGGAUGGGGGGUAGUCAGCCAGGUAAAAAUCAGUAGGCACCUCUUGAGAAGAAAGAGACUGGAAGCACUUUUUUUACUCUACAAAACAACAACAACACACAUUUCAGUUACCAUGCUGAUUUUUCUCUUCUUCUCUUGAAGUGAAUAUUCUCAAGGUUAAGUGUCGGCUGCUUUAAUGGAAUCAAUCCCAGAGAGUGCCUUAGAGGAGUCCACAAACUAUAGCCCAUGGGCAAAUCUGGCCUAAUACCUGUAUAUGUUUGAUCCUCAAGCAAAAAAUAAUUUUUACAUUUUAUAGGUUGAAAAGAAAGGGGAAUAUGUGAAUAGAGAGAGUAUGUAGCCAGCAAGGCCUAUUUAUUAUUGGCCCCUUACAGAAAAAGAUUGCUGAUCCCUGACAUAAAGAAUGAAUGUCUGUGUGUUAAAGAAAAGCAAAAGGAAGAAACAGAGACCUUGGUACCAAGGACCAAGGCAGGACACCAGUGCCGACCCUGCAUCAGCAGACCCUCUGGGCCCUUGGACCAGGUGCCCCUAUUCUUCCAGGUCCACCUUCUCACUAGUAUACUAAGGGCUCCAUUGCUCCAAAUCCACCUGUCUCUUCAGGUCAGGUUCAUAUUCCCAGUGGACCUGGGCAUCUGAAUGGGGAAUACCUCAGGCACCAGCAGCUCAACAGGUCAAACCCUAACGUAUGACCUUCUUUCCUAAGUCUUGUCCUCGUCCUAUCUGAUCACAUUUCAUCCAGUGACCUCUUCUCCCACUGAGUACCUACUGCUAUCAAAGUACUUAUUCCAGAAAUAGCCCCCUACCUGGUUUCUCUGUCAGGCUAGUCAACAUACCUUUUGUACCAUCACCAGAAUAUAAAAUAUAAAUCAUGGUCCAUCUUGCAUCUGCCACUGGCUUCACAAUUUCUAAAUGAAGUACAAAUCCCUUGUCAUAAAAAACAAAGUCCAUCAAUCAGCCUUCCUGUAUAAGCCCUCCUAUCUUCCAGCCCAAACUUUCUUAAACUUCAUCCUCACUGUAGCCCUCAUACCCCUCCCAAACCUCUUUCCUCAGAUCUCUCUGCACACUCUGUUCUCUCUGUGAAAAAUGCUUUUUCCAGCUCUUCUGUCUUUGGUAAACACCCUUCAGGAUCCAGAUCAAGUGAUACUCCUGGAAGAGCCUCCUUAUGCCCCCCAUCCAGAUGAUUUGCCUCCUCUGUGGUUACUACACUUAACAGCUGCAUUAAAGUUGCAUAUUCUCUAAUCUCUCUCUUCUUCUAAACUAACCUGUUUCUCGAAUAAAUAUUGGCACACAGCAGGCCUGUUAGAGGGACUUAAUUAGGAAAAAAAAAAGAAGUCAUCUUGGAACAUUAUUCUUGAUCAUAUGUGGCCCUGCCUCAGGUGCCUCCAUCUCUGCUGUACUCUGAGCUCUGUGGGCUCCCCGUCAUUAUCCCUUGUCCUUUUGCCUUCAGCACCAGAAGGAUGUCAGAGCUUCUCACAGCAGAGCAGGGUUGGAAGGGGAACACUUACCCCAGAGAAUGCUGGGACAUCAGUCUGAUGUAAACAACAUAUUCACAGCAGAAGCCAGAAACGUUUAGGCUGUUUGAAGAUAUGUUAAUUCCAGGUAAAAAAAACCGAUUUACUCAUUAAACCAAAACACCUUGUGUGCUAACCUUUGCUCAAUUAACUUAGCUCUAAUUAUUGAAAUGAAUAAACAGACCUAGAAUUUGGAUUUUUCCACCACUCAGAACUUCCCUAAAUUCACCAAUCUGGUGAGUUUUUAAUAAGGUCUCUGACUGUGACUGGCCUCACAAUCUAAAGAGGAAAUGUUUCCUUAGUGACAUUAAUUUGAAUUCAGAUUUGAAUACACAUCAAAGUUUCUGAGUACUACAUUUAACGGUACUCCAGAAAUUCACAAACAAUAUUUACAGAGGAGACAGUUUUCACACUCAAUGAAAUCUGGUCAGGAAUUGUUAUGGCAUUUUUGGGGGGAUUUUUUAAAAGGCUAUUUCUAAGAUAACUUUGUUAAAUAUUACAACAAUGUGUUAGUUAAUAAUGUGUUAGUAAUAAUCCUUAAUUCCUAAAGACAUUGUGAAGCUAAUUUUAUUUAAACUGGGCAAUGAGCUUAGAAAUACUUCACUGAAAAAACUUACCAUCCUACCACCUCUUACUUAGUUUUUCUAGUUCAUUUUUGGGAAUAGCUAGAAAAUAAGCCCACAGGACACAAAGAUUGAGACAUCACACUUAAUUCCUUACAAAAAAUGAAGAAAGAGAUUGAGGUCAAAUUGCGAAACCAAACUCGAGAAAUAAAAACAAACACCAUCAAUGAAAACACUUCCAACAGAAAUGUUCUCUUUAAAUACAAAAAGAAAAAAGGAAGAAAAAAAGCAUUUGCUAGAAAUCAAUUUGGAUCAGAGUUCAUUUCACCUCUGGACUUUGCUGUUUUCAUAAUAAUGUUUUCAGUACUACAGUGUAAAUGAACAAAAUCCUUAAAAAAUAGAAACCAGAGUUGAAGGAUAUCCAGGUUUAAGGAGGAAAAAAAAAAAUCACAGUGAAUUUGGUGAUCAUCCAGAUUCAUUAACUGCUUAAUAGUCAGGAACUUUUUGAAUUUUAGUCAAAAGACCUUAGACUUUAAAACAAUUAUAAUUCUGUCUCCACCAAUAUUUUCACUUUCUAGGCCCGCAAAAUGAAGGUAAAUAAUCAAUACCAAAGAGAGUCUCCUUUUAUACCUUAUAACUUCUGAAGUGGGAGUUUAGGAAAUAUCCUCAUUUGCAAAUAGGAUAACAUUUUGUGUAUAUAUUUUUAACUCUUCCCUUUGAAACCAAAACAUUACAUUGAGCCCUUGUAAUUUAAAGAAGAAAAAAAGACAAGUUGCCUGAUGGGUUUAGAGUCCAAAUGAAAGGGAAGAGCUAGUAAGUAUCCAGUCUGUUGGUUCCAAGAACUGUCACUUCAGGGCACAAAGAUUUGUCUUUAUCCUGAAUUUAUCUGGGUUGGAUUUUGGCAACAUUAAUUUGAGAAUGACCAGUUUCUACAUUUCUCUUGAGGCUAUGGAACCAACUUAAAUCCCCAGGGAAGCAAAUAAAAGGUUUGGGUUUUUUUUCCCCUCUGAAUGGUUUGUCUCAUAUUCUUAGAUGAGUUUUUAUUUUUAAACUAAUAGCUUCUUAUUGUAAAAAUGAAGAACAGUUAUAAUCCUAAACGUAGUUGCUUAGCAGCUUAGCAUCUCUUUCUCAUCUUUUAAUCUCUGCUUAACUUUUCAUCUAGCUGAGCUCACUCUGUACAUUACAAUUUAUAUGUGGUUCAUUGAACUAAGACAUGAGCAUGUUUCAAGUGUUAUUAAGCACAUUUAAAAUAUUUAAAGAUUACCUAAUAAUUCACUUUAAAGAUGUACCAUAAUUUAAUAAAGCAUUUGCCUCUGUUGGACAUCUAUAAUGCUUCCAGGUUUUCAUUAUUAUAAAUAAUACUUUGAUGAAUGCUGUUUAGUCAUUAAGCUGUAUGUCAUUAUGAAUUUCAGGUUAUCUAUGAAGGGUAUGCUUAGAAGUGAAGUUUCCAGGACAAAGGAUAUGGCAAUUUUUGAGGAACUUAUUAAGUAUUGCUUUCAUCAUUUCUAAUUUGCAGUGUAUAAAAGUGUUUCUCUCAUGAAACCUUUAUAAUUAAUAAUGUUACUUUUCUAAUCUUAACUAUAAGAGAAAAUGGUAGCUCAAGAAUUAAAUUUAGUUUUUUAUUAUUUGUAAGGUUGAAAAAGCUUUAUCAACUGUUUACCAUUUGCAUUUCCUUUUAUUGUGAAUGUCUACUUUCCUUUGCCCAUUUAUCUAACUGGUUUUACUGUUUUUAAAAAUGGAUCAUACACAGUCUUUAUAUUAAGGAUAGCAACCCUUUGUCAUAUUUGUUCCAAACGUUUUUCAACUAAUUUCCUGUUAACGUUGAAGUCAUUAAAUCUAUAAUUUUUUUCCCCUUUUUGGCUUCAUUCAUUGUUAAAUUUAGAAAGGUCAUCAAAACACUUGACACAUAUAUACUUAAGUUUUCUUCUAAAUUUUUUGAUGAUUUUAUUUUUAAAUAUUAAUGCUUUAAUUCAUAUGAACUGCUUUCUUUGCCAAAUAAUUUUCCCAGCAUUGUAUGCAUAAUAUUUCUUUUCCCACUGAUAACUGAUAAUAAUUUUAUUUAGUUAUCUAGGUUAAGAUACCAUCCUUGUAGCCAUACCUGGUUGCCCUCCCUGUAUUCAAACCCUUGUUGUGUAUUCUUACAGCUAUUCUGCAAAAGAUGAAAUGACUUUGGCCUUGACAUACUUUGAUUAAUGUCACAUGAAUUGAAGUGAUCCUAUGCCAGUCCUGAUCUAGGCCUCGAGAUAUCGUGGGUUCCCACUUUUCCUCUUGAGCCUCUGUGAUCACCAGAUAGCCAGGCCCCCAACGAAACACACACGGAAUGGAGCUGUCCCAGCUGUGCUGCAGAAGUGCAGGGCUGUGUGAGCAGUCGGCCCAGCCAGAGCUGGAUGAAGCAGAGCGGCCUGACUGCACUCAGUCUUUCUUGAAAGGCUGACAAGGGAAGCACUGAAGAGAGUGAAGUGACAGUUGGCUCACGUAAAGUCCUGCAGGAUGACCCGGGCAGGCUUAAAUGGCACUUCUAUGUUCUUAUGCUGCAUGACAUUCCAAUUCAGGAUAUUUUCAAUGUCAUUUUUCUUCACCAAAAAUUGAUCACAGUUCCGAAUGGCUGCCUCCAGAAGAACUCUGAUAGAAAAUGGAUCCAAAGGCUCAGCAAGGUGUGCAAAUGGGUUGUUCAUGGUCCCUGAUGGUCACGUGUGUCUGAAAAGGAAAGAAAACACCUAAUUUGUUUUCCUGACCUCAUUUAUUCUGGGCCAAACCGAACGCCCCUGUGCCCCUAUUUGACCUGUGUCCCAGCAUAACCUGGCAGAUGUUUUGGACUGGAGGAAUGGAAGGGUAACCAGAGAAAAAACUCAGGCAGGAGACUCUGGAAGGGGAGGAGGUGAAAAGUGACCUGAGUGGACAAGUGGAUGGUGGCAGCGGAAAUUGAAAAGAAGUUGUAGAUGGAUUAAAAGCUGAAGAGACCAAAGUUAGAGAGAAUGGCUGCUGAGUGAGUGGGGAGUCAUGGAAGGGAGAAGAAACACAGCGGAACUCCAUGUGCAGCGAGGUGAAGGACUGCUUUUUGGGAGGGAAGACGGCGGCUUUUGUGUUUGAGGGGAGAGUCCACUUAAGGUAAGUGCCACAGAAAUGCAAGUGUCUUUGUAUUCAUGCCCAUUACAUGGGGAGCCAGUCAGGAGGAAAAGGCCUGUAAAUACACCAUUCAGCAAGAAACACGCCGGCUUGUCUGCAGAAGGAGAAGUUUACAAAUCUGUGGGCUCAUAAAACGAGACUAAUGAUCCCAUUGACUACAGUUCUGAAGAUGUAAAUCGAAAAAGGCAAUAAUGCUCUUCUCCCUUUGGUUGGUCACCAAUGCCUCUGCCCUAGACUUCACUCUUCCAUUCCAAACAGAUUUGCAGCUGCGACAGGAAAACUGCUGUUUUGCUGGCCUGGAAAAUGGAUCCACAGAAGAGUGUCUCCACAGAGACAGGGGCCAGGUGACCCCAAAGUCUAUGGUUGAACCAGUCACUAAGUUGUACCCAGGUUUGCCAUGAUGCAGUGAAGAUAAAAUGUGUCGAUUUGCUUCCCUUACAGACGGCCUGCGCAGAACUUUGGAGGCCUUAUACAAUUCCUGCUGCUCCCGGCACCCUACAAAACAAGCUGGCAUUUCAGGACGGAAUGAUGACCAAUAUGGAUCAUGUAGAAAAUGGUCUGUGUAAAGUGCUCUACCAUCUGCCUCCUUUUUUCCUUAGAAAGUAGAUAAUUGUCUAGUUUCACUAUAUUAAUGAAGCAAUUUUUACUUGCAGCAAUUAGGAGGAAUCAGGUACUAAUUACUAAGCACCAGCACAUGCCCAGUGCUUCAGCCCAUCUUCUCUAACUCUGGCAACAUCUCUAUUAGUUAAAGAUAACCCAUUCCCAUUUUACAGCUGAGAAACAGCAGCUCAAAGAGAUGGAAAAACUUGCCUAAUGGCAUACAUCUAAUAAGAGGCAGAGCUGGGUUUUGAACUCUGGUUCCUUCUACCCACCCUGUGGUGCCUCUCGCCUCUCCAGGUGCAACAACUCCUGUUCUGAAGGUGGUGUGGCUGGAGGUCACCAACCAAUCCCCAGACUUGAAAAAAGCCUGAAGGCUUUGUACGGGCCUGAGAAAUCCUACAAGACACAGCUGUGAAUACUAGAGUUGCCUUUCCUUCUUCCAUUGGUCACCCAGCACAUUGGCCUGGGCCCGGCAUCACACAUCCCAGGCCACUUUAUGGAGUCCCAGAUGCCCCGCCAGGAGUUCCCAGCACCUUAAUCCCAAGAGAAAGUCCUGAGCAUGCCGCGAGGAGGCUGUGAGGGGACUGGUCUUUAUCUUGGGAAAGGUGCAGAUCCAAAGUGGAAUCUAGGCCUUGUGAACACUUCCUAGGUCUGUCUUACCCUGGCCAGAACUGUACUCCAUCCCCAAACCUCAGGUCCUAAUUACCACAGGGCCUGCGGAUUCCACACCUACCCCAAGAUCUGGGUCUGUCAGCCAGGGAGCCCUGCCUACUUCUACAUUCACAUAAAGCACAGAUAUGACUGUUUGAAUUCCUUUCUGUUCUUAUCCCCCAUCUUCUCCUUCUGCUUUGUUCCUACCUUUUUUGUUUUAUCUAAUCCCCAUUCAAUACUAAUAAAAGAGAGGAAUGACCAGAGUUGGUGUGGAUUUUUUUGGGAGAGGGUGGAGUGUUAUUGUACUUUUUUUUCUUGUUUGGAUGGGGGAAGAAUUAAUAUACAUGGAAAUAUGUUUGGGUUGCUGCCUUUUGCAUUCUAUGGAAUAAGAAGACACUGCAUGGAGACAAAGGAAAAAAGAAGAUAAAUGGAAGUGAGAAAAGAGAAAAGAAAUUUUAAAAAAGGAAACAAUAUAUUUUAAGCAGUGAGGCUGGAGCUCAUUCAGAACUUAUUCUCCCUGAACGCUUGCAUGCAGAGUGUUAGGAGAGACUUGCAACCCACAAGAUUCCCCUUUAUGUAAUGGGAGCCCUCACAGCGGAUGGAAGCCCUGAAACCUGAUGCACAGUUUGACCCCAAGCUUGGCUGCACUGUGAACCGACUUGUUUAUAGCAAGGUAAGCAGCUGAUUAGCUUAAAUCAUGGGCAAAAUCCCCUUCUGGGUCAGUGAGCUUUCCUGUCUGUAACCCAGCCUGAACUUCCAAGCCCAGGCAGUAAUCUUACAGAUGGGUUUCUUGAGGGCAUAUGGGCAGUGCACUGCUAACCCAUCACUCUGGCUGGAAGACCAUCUAGGACCAUACACCCCACAGGCAGGGGUGUGUCACGGGAUGAUGCUCAUUACACAGCACAGUUGACUGACUUUUGGCUAAAUGCCAACGAUGAGGUCAAAUUAAG
This is a long non-coding RNA of Manis pentadactyla (Chinese pangolin), 9771 nucleotides long. RefSeq lists it as uncharacterized. NCBI's taxonomy places the organism in Eukaryota, Metazoa, Chordata, Mammalia, Pholidota, Manidae. The transcript is spliced from 10 exons. The record is from RefSeq and is a predicted model, not a curated record.